AUCUGGCUCAGAUUGAACGCUGGCGGCAGGCCUAACACAUGCAAGUCGAACGGUAACAGGAGAAGCUUGCUCUUGCUGACGAGUGGCGGACGGGUGAGUAAUGUCUGGGAAACUGCCUGAUGGAGGGGGAUAACUACUGGAAACGGUAGCUAAUACCGCAUAACGUCGCAAGACCAAAGAGGGGGACCUUCGGGCCUCUUGCCAUCGGAUGUGCCCAGAUGGGAUUAGCUUGUUGGUGGGGUAACGGCUCACCAAGGCGACGAUCCCUAGCUGGUCUGAGAGGAUGACCAGCCACACUGGAACUGAGACACGGUCCAGACUCCUACGGGAGGCAGCAGUGGGGAAUAUUGCACAAUGGGCGCAAGCCUGAUGCAGCCAUGCCGCGUGUAUGAAGAAGGCCUUCGGGUUGUAAAGUACUUUCAGCGGGGAGGAAGGGAGUAAAGUUAAUACCUUUGCUCAUUGACGUUACCCGCAGAAGAAGCACCGGCUAACUCCGUGCCAGCCGCAGC
Molecule: ribosomal RNA, 509 nt
Filed under: uncultured bacterium
Lineage: Bacteria
Description: bacterial SSU rRNA
Rfam family: Bacterial small subunit ribosomal RNA
Source: RNAcentral